UUCGUCCAAUUGAAGCAGAGGACAGUGGCGGACGGGUGAGUAACGCGUGAGGAACCUGCCUUUCAGAGGGGGACAACAUUUGGAAACGAAUGGUAAUACCACAUAACAUUACAUUCUCGCAUGGGGAUGUAAUCAAAGAUUUAUCGCUGAGAGAUGGACUCGCGUCCGAUUAGCUGGAUGGUGAGGUAACGGCCCACCAUGGCGACGAUCGGUAGCCGGACUGAGAGGUUGAACGGCCACAUUGGGACUGAGACACGGCCCAGACUCC
Molecule: ribosomal RNA, 268 nt
Filed under: uncultured bacterium
Lineage: Bacteria
Description: partial 16S ribosomal RNA
Rfam family: Bacterial small subunit ribosomal RNA
Source: RNAcentral